This 482-nucleotide ribosomal RNA is filed under the name uncultured bacterium. Its description in RNAcentral is "partial 16S ribosomal RNA". It matches the Rfam family "Bacterial small subunit ribosomal RNA", at positions 30 to 507 of the family's 1533-position model. The record is from RNAcentral.
AUUGAACGCUGGCGGCAUGCUUUACACAUGCAAGUCGAACGGUAACAGGCCGCAAGGUGCUGACGAGUGGCGAACGGGUGAGUAAUGCAUCGGAACGUGCCCAGUCGUGGGGGAUAACUACUCGAAAGAGUAGCUAAUACCGCAUACGAUCUAUGGAUGACAGCGGGGGACCGUAAGGCCUCGCGCGAUUGGAGCGGCCGAUGUCAGAUUAGGUAGUUGGUGGGGUAAAGGCUCACCAAGCCAACGAUCUGUAGCUGGUCUGAGAGGACGACCAGCCACACUGGGACUGAGACACGGCCCAGACUCCUACGGGAGGCAGCAGUGGGGAAUUUUGGACAAUGGGCGCAAGCCUGAUCCAGCAAUGCCGCGUGCAGGAAGAAGGCCUUCGGGUUGUAAACUGCUUUUGUACGGAACGAAACGGCUCUGGUUAAUACCCGGGGCUAAUGGCGGUACCGUAAGAAUAAGCACCGGCUAACUACGUG